Pseudopipra pipra is the source of this 1331-nucleotide long non-coding RNA. RefSeq lists it as uncharacterized. NCBI's taxonomy places the organism in Eukaryota, Metazoa, Chordata, Aves, Passeriformes, Pipridae. The transcript is spliced from 3 exons. The record is from RefSeq and is a predicted model, not a curated record.
CGCGCGUCCCUGAGCCGCCCCUCAGCGCUGGCGCCCCCUCCUCGCAGGGAGCGAAGCGGGGGGCGGGAAACCCACACCGGCCUCCUGAGGAGAAGCACGGCAGGGGCGCUUUAACAGUGGGCUGGGUGCGGCGGGGCCCGCGGGGCAAAAGUAUAAAGCGUGAGGAGCGAGGCGAGCCCGCUGGGUACCGUUUCCCGUCUCGGAGGAGCAGGCGGGGCUGUCCCGUUCUCCUCAGGCUCCCGCCCUGCCCCGGGCCCGCAGCACGGCGGGGGCGGGGAGGCAGCGGUUGGUGAGGGCGGGUAGUUCAAACCCGAGCGAGGGAAAGCGGCGGCGGCCGCACGCGAGGGGCCGGUGUGGGUGGGGAGAGGCGAAGCGGCUCCUCGCCGGGGGCAACGGGCCCAGGGUCGGGCGGCGAGAGCUGCUAGGGCGGCACCGGCCUCGCUCCUCCAGCCUGCCCUCAGCCCCGCUCGGGGGGCCCCGCUGCCGCCUCAGCCGCGCCCCGUGGAAGGGCGGCCUCCAGGCUCUGCUCCUGUGCCCAGCGAUUUCCCAAAUGAGGGGGUGAAGCGGUUGCUUUGCUCGCGUCCGGCAUCCCAGGUGGAUGAGAGACUCACGGGUGCUGUUCCCUGGGUUAUCAGUAGGGGCAAGCAAUUCUAAUACAGCACAUUUACUGUGGAAGAUCUUGAGUUACUUCACAAAUUAGGUCCCCCUCCAGCUUUCUUGCAGGCCCCCAUUAGGUACCAGAAGGCCACAACAAGGUUUACCUGGAGCCUUCACUUCUCUGGGCUGAACAGCUCCAACACUCUCAGCCAGUUUUCACAGCAAAGGUACUUCAUCCCUCUGAUCAUUUUCACAUCCUACUCCAGAUUCGCUCCAACAUGUCCAUGUCCUCCAUAUUUUGGGGGCCCCAGGGCUGAACGCAGUACUCCAGGUGGGGUCUCACAAGAGCAGAAGGUAAAGAAGUAAAAUGAAGUAUAAAAUAGUAUGAAUGAAUGAAUAAGUAUAGAAUGAAGUGUAGAAAAGAGGUGAAAUGAAGCAGUUUGCUGGACAUUGUUCAUUCGGUGUCUGUACUGAAGUGACAAUUUUAUUUAUAUUAUCCUAUAAUACUUUGUAAUGUCGAUAAAAUCAAUGCAAUGAGCUCACAGGCUCCCCCUGCCGGACGUUGCACUAUGCACAGCAUAUUUUUGGCUUCUGCUUGACUUAACAGCAUUCCUUUAACUCCACUAUUUUGAUCUCCCUUACAGCUGCAAAAACCUUGUUUUGCUGUGAUUUUUAUGUUACUUGGAACACAAGUUUGAUUAAAUUAUUUUAUACUGUAAUAUUUUAAUUUUUUU